GGGGAAGUGGCGGAAUCGGCAGACGCGCACGGCUUAGGACCGUGUGCCGCAAGGCGUGGGGGUUCGAGUCCCCCCUUCCCCACCA
This 85-nucleotide transfer RNA is filed under the name Dehalococcoidia bacterium. RNAcentral's name for it is "tRNA-Leu". It matches the Rfam family "tRNA". Rfam says of the family: Transfer RNA (tRNA) molecules are approximately 80 nucleotides in length. Their secondary structure includes four short double-helical elements and three loops (D, anti-codon, and T loops). Further hydrogen bonds mediate the characteristic L-shaped molecular structure. tRNAs have two regions of fundamental functional importance: the anti-codon, which is responsible for specific mRNA codon recognition, and the 3' end, to which the tRNAs corresponding amino acid is attached (by aminoacyl-tRNA synthetases). tRNAs cope with the degeneracy of the genetic code in two manners: having more than one tRNA (with a specific anti-codon) for a particular amino acid; and 'wobble' base-pairing, i.e. permitting non-standard base-pairing at the 3rd anti-codon position. Lineage: Bacteria; Bacillati; Chloroflexota; Dehalococcoidia. The record is from RNAcentral.